GAUGAACGCUGGCGGCGUGCUUAACACAUGCAAGUCGAACGGAGUUUCUUGGAUAGAGGUUUCGGCCAAUUGAAAAGAAACUUAGUGGCGGACGGGUGAGUAACGCGUGAGGAACCUGCCUUGGAGUGGGGAAUAACACAGUGAAAAUUGUGCUAAUACCGCAUAAUGCAGUUGGGUCGCAUGGCCCUGACUGCCAAAGAUUUAUCGCUCUAAGAUGGCCUCGCGUCUGAUUAGCUAGUUGGUAGGGUAACGGCCUACCAAGGCGACGAUCAGUAGCCGGACUGAGAGGUUGGCCGGCCACAUUGGGACUGAGACACGGCCCAG
Molecule: ribosomal RNA, 324 nt
Filed under: uncultured bacterium
Lineage: Bacteria
Description: bacterial SSU rRNA
Rfam family: Bacterial small subunit ribosomal RNA
Source: RNAcentral